AUGGGAGAGAGAGAUUUAAGUUAUUCAGUGAGGAGGAGAGUGAAAAGUGAGUGAUGAAAAAGAGGGAGGGAAAAGAAGAGAGAGAGUGAAAGAGAAAGCCAGAAAGGGAUGUGUGAGGAAAUUGACGGAGAAGCUGCCUUGUAUAAUGUAUGAGGAUGAUGCGUUACUAGUUUGUGUUGAGUAGCUAUCCGCGGUACUAAUGCAUCAAAUUGAUAGAUACUACUGCUAAUAUAAUUUCUGCCCUUUUUUAAAAGGUACCCCUAAUGUCGCGGUAACGUGCCCUCGAUUUUUAGUACCCUAAAGGUGCCAACCUGCCCUACAUCCUCUGCUCUGCUCUUCCCACUCUAGUCUUUUGGAUUUGGGUCGCUUAUUCAGGCCAACAUAAACAGCUGAUACCCUUUUAUCAUUACCAAGCUCCCAUGCUUCCUAACCGGGUAUAACUCUAGAUUCAUUUCCAUCACUUUACACUUUCAAAUUUUUUUCCCUGUAUUUAUUUUAAGAAGCUUUGUAUUAGAUUUUCUAUUUUUCUAGUUCCAAUCCAACUUAAUUAAGUGCUAUCUUUAUUUUACAAGUAUACAAAUUUAAUACAUAAUUUUUUCUAUAAUGUGAUAUUUUCUAAUAAAUUUAUUUACUAUAAAAUGUAAUAUAAUAUAAUUCUUAUCUCUUUAUUAUUUAUUUAUACGAAAUAUUAUAAAAUAUAUAUACAUAUAUUUCUAACCUAUUGAACUGUUUUAGUGUGCUGUAACUGUUAUAGGCUUAUUACUUAAAACUUUUAUAUUAUGAUUAAUCAAUCUAAUCAAUCAAAUAAAUCAUUAAGAGGAUACCUUUUUUUUUUUAUAAUUUUAUCAACCAGAGACAAACAGAUUCAAACCAAGUAACAAAACUAAUUAAAGGUUUGGCUUAAGCCCUUCAAUGUAGCCAACACUAGUUCCUCACUAUUAUAAAAGAAAGUACAUAUGAACUCCAGUAGUACAGGGAGACAAUUAAAAUUUUUUAGUUAAUACAUCAUGUGGUUCUUAGUACACUCAAGUAAAAAGGAAAGGUAAUGUCUGCAAAAAAUGUAUACAGGUUUUUUCUAUAUGUUCUUCAUUCACUUAUUGUAUAGUAUUAGGACCCCAAUUAUUCGGUUUCCUCGUCCAUCAAAACCAGAUAGGAGAAAUGUGGGGUGGUAUGUGGCCAUGAAAAAAUCUACAGAAGCUAAAUGUAGGUAUACUGCUCAAACUAUUAAGUCAAAUCCAGGACUGGAUGGAAUAGUUGCAUUUGAAGGAGUUUACCCCACUGAUAUGAGCAAAAAUAUCUGAGGAAUCAACCAUAUCAUCUUCAUCCUUCACAACUACCUGCAGGUUUAAAAAACUAAAUCAACAAAUAAUUGAGAAGGUACAGAUGAAAAAGAUUUUCUUGAUUUUAACACGGGCAGGUUGAAUGAAAAGAGCCCUGUUUAGUGUUUAAUAAAUCAAUAAACCUUGGAAAUCUUACUUCUUCUUCGUCAUCAUCUUCAUGAUUGCUACUAGUAGUUCUAUUGGUUUCUCCAAAGUCAUCAUUCUUUGCAAACCUUCCUCGAACCCGAGGUCGGCUGUCUGCCAGAGUUUUGCGGCAGGCAUACUGCACAUUUGGUUGCAUCGUUAGUUGAACUUGGAAAUAUGCAAUAUGAAGUGGUUUAUAAGCAAGGAGUACCUUGCAUAUGUAUAUGCAAAUGUAACAUCAUGAGAUUUUAAUUUUGUUUGAUGAUGAGGCUGUUUUGAAUACGGGAAGGAACUUGAGUGUACCUUAAUUUUCUUGCUGAAGUUUCUUUCAUUUCUUUUCUUCAUGUAUCUAUUGAUCUUUUCUUUCCUUUGCUCAACAGAAAGUUUUCCAACUUUGAAUGAGGAGUCCUCUAAGUUAGAAAUUUCAGGUGUUAGAGUGGCAGAACUACCACCCCCGGGAACUAGUUGCUGACUCUCAGUACCAAGUGCCUAGGAAAUCAAUUACAAACAAAAUCAGUUACUUUCUUGCUCAGCGCAAAGGGAAAUUAGUCAUCGCAAACUAUCAUUAACUUGGUUAGAGGUUCCGGAAAACGAUAUGCUAAAAGAGCCACUCAUGAAGUGGGUCUUUACUAAUGGUGGUGCUGCUUGUUAUCAAUUUUUGUGGAAAGUUGCCAUUCCAUUCUGACUCGUGCUACUAACUAGCACAGAAUUUAUGCUACUUUGUACAGGUGAGAAUGAGAUUAUAAAGGGGUUGAUAUGCUAGCUACUGUUUUGAUGGAUAUGGG
This 2248-nucleotide long non-coding RNA is filed under the name Vigna radiata. RNAcentral's name for it is "long non-coding RNA (VRAD_LNC009187)". The record is from RNAcentral. Lineage: Eukaryota; Viridiplantae; Streptophyta; Magnoliopsida; Fabales; Fabaceae.